RNAcentral lists this long non-coding RNA (2067 nucleotides) under Canis lupus familiaris (dog). RNAcentral's name for it is "lncRNA (ENSCAFG00000055743.1)". The record is from RNAcentral. Lineage: Eukaryota; Metazoa; Chordata; Mammalia; Carnivora; Canidae.
UUUUUCUUUAUAAACCAUAUAAAUAUAUUUGAAUUUUUUAAUAGACAUUACUUUAUCAAUUAAAACCAUUUUUUCAAGAUUUAUUUGAGACAGAGAGAGAAAGCACGAGCAGGAGGGACGGGGUGGGGAGAGAAUCUCAAGCAGAGUCCAAUGAACGCAGAACCCAAUGUGGUGCUCAAUCUCAUAACCUUGAGAUCACAACUUGAGCCAAAACCAAGAGUCAGACGCCUAAACAACUGCACCACCCAGGCGCCCCAAUUAAAACUAUUUUUAACAAUUAGGAGCGAAAGAUUUGAAACAAAAGGCCCAACUGCCCUCUGCUACAAUAAAGGCACAACUACCAUGCCCUAUUCCAUGUAAAGAAAGAUUUUUUUUUUCUUGAGAUUUCUAAAAUGUAUUCAUUUCAGAGACAGAGAGACAAAGACAGAGACAGAGAAAGUACAAACAGGAAGAGAGGCAGAGGGAGAAAUAGACUCCCAAAUGAGCUGGGAGUCCAACAUGGGGCUUGAUUCCAGGCCCUAGAGAUCACAACCUGAGCUGAGCUGAAGGCUGACACUUAACCAUCAGAGCCACCCAGGGUGUCUCAUAAAGCAAGAUUUUAAAGAACAUCAGAAAUGCUUAAGUAAACAAUCAAUGAAAUUGGUAUUCGACAUGUUUUCAUGUAAAUAUUGUUUUCAUUUAAACAUUUCUGGCUUUUUUAACUUCAGCUAUUCUACUAUCUGAAAAAUGGUAUCUUCCAAACACUUUUACCUCGAACAAGUAAUGUACAUGGAGAAAACAGCCUAGAACCAAGUAGCAAGAGCCUAUUAAUAGCAUCCUGACUCCAAUGAAUCAGAGCAACUCAAGAAGACCAACACGUCAAAUGAGUUGAUCUAUGGGCACCACUGAGAAGCACAGAGGAGACAAAGAAUCAAAAAAUGCUGUACAUUAUAACCUUUUAGCAAUUCUGACUUCAAGACUCCUAUGGAAACUCAGUAUAAACAUUUCAAAGGUGUAAGUCACCCAAAUAUGAACAAAUCUGCUAAGUCACAUGCUUUUAUUUUCUUCCUAACUUCAGGCAUUCUUCCCACAAACUAGAGAAAUCCAUUCUUUCCUCUCUCAAGCAAUAAUUUGGACUGACUGAACAAAAACUGGUGGUUUAAAAUUUUAAGACAAUCAAUUUGAUCAGCAUUUCAAGAAAGAGCUUUUACUCUACAUAAUGGUGCACUUAGUGGGCUGCACGCAGGGACUAUCUACAUAAUUUGUGGGGCCCAAGCAAAAUGAAAAUGCAGUGCCCCUUGUUAAAAAACUGAAGACUUUCAAGGCAGCAACAGCAAAGCAUUAACCAAGAGCAGGGCCCUUCUCAGCAAGGGGCCCCGUGUCACAGCACAAGCCGUGUACCUGCUAAGCUGGCUCUGGAUACGGGAACCAGAGCAGUAAAACCCUUUUCCAAGGUUUUUAAGUGAUAGGUUGACUGAAUGGGAUGAGGUGAAGAGAGUGCUUGAUUAAUUAGUAAGGAUUAUCUGAUAAAAUUCCUGAUCAAAUAAAUUCUCUUAAGUUUUAUUUGCUAUAGGCACAGAGAGAGAAAUGUAAUAAACAUUUUGACACAUUCAAGGAACUUGUUUGGACAACAGCUCUUUGUAUUAGAGCUGAGAUUCAAGGCCUCAAGAAAUUGAUUUCACUGUAGAACUUAAAAUUUAUUAACAAGUAGGUUUGUGUCGAGUCCAAUUUGUCUUGAAUUUUUAAAACACAAUAACAAAAGGUCACUUUUAAGGACAGGGUAACCAAUUUGCAUAAGUUGCAUGAUAAUCACAGCACCUUUCAGCUAAAUAUAACUGCAAAUGUGAAAUACAAAUUGCUAAAUCGCAAUCUCCAGCAGUACAUAUGUUUAUGGGGACACUUGAAUAGUAUGUCUCUUAGCAACCACUGACUGCUUCUCAGAUUUGCAGAGUCGUUGAAAGCAGUCUUUAGAAAUAUGCUACUAAAAACUCUUGCCACAAUAAUACACACCCAAUGAAAUAAUCCAAGGUUUGGCAACCCAGUGUGCUGAGGGGAGGGGAUCAUUAAAAAAAAAAAAAAAAAAAAAAA